AAGCAGAUGAGAUUCCCUAAUCUAUUUGGGAUCCUUGUGUCCAUUCUACUGGUUCUGAUUGGCUUGGUGAUUGUAUCUGCUCUUGUUUUGAUGGCAAGAAAGCGAUGGAAAAGAGAUGCUGCAGUACCCAAAAUACCACAGAACUCUGGUGACACAGUUGGGUACAGGAGCUCAGAGUCCAGCCCCGGGCAGCAAGCACAAGAAGUGGCGAUAGAGAACAUCUAUCAAACAGAAUGUGAUGACAGAGCUGACUAUGAGGAAUGUCCCUGAAGAUGCGUUAAGAUACACUUAAGACGCACUUAUCCAGUCGUGUUGGUUGAAAUUACUUGAAGGGUAGUGUCAUAACAUGGUCAUAAUUCUGUCAUAACCAUGUCAUAACAUGGUCACGACACUAUAAUGCCCCAUUUAUUUUGAAACAUUAUGACAAAUAUUGUGUUCAUUUUAUGACUGGUUAUGACACUUACGCAGGUCUAUCAAAAUAUA
Long non-coding RNA from Esox lucius (northern pike), 483 nucleotides. RefSeq lists it as uncharacterized. NCBI's taxonomy places the organism in Eukaryota, Metazoa, Chordata, Actinopteri, Esociformes, Esocidae. The transcript is spliced from 3 exons. The record is from RefSeq and is a predicted model, not a curated record.